This 424-nucleotide ribosomal RNA is filed under the name uncultured prokaryote. Its description in RNAcentral is "bacterial SSU rRNA". It matches the Rfam family "Bacterial small subunit ribosomal RNA", at positions 355 to 796 of the family's 1533-position model. The record is from RNAcentral.
UGGGGAAUCUUGGACAAUGGGGGCAACCCUGAUCCAGCGACGCCGCGUGGGUGACGAAGGCCUUCGGGUUGUAAAGCCCUUUCGCCGGGGACGAUGAUGACGGUACCCGGAGAAGAAGCACCGGCUAACUCCGUGCCAGCAGCCGCGGUAAGACGGAGGGUGCUAGCGUUGUUCGGAAUCACUGGGCGUAAAGGGCGCGUAGGCGGCCUGGUUUGUCGGUUGUGAAAGCCCGGGGCUCAACCUCGGAACGGCACCCGAUACGGCCAGGCUGGAGGCCGGAAGAGGAGGGUGGAAUACCCAGUGUAGAGGUGAAAUUCGUAGAUAUUGGGUGGAACACCGGUGGCGAAAGCGGCUCUCUGGUCCGGACCUGACGCUGAGGCGCGAAAGCGUGGGGAGCAAACAGGAUUAGAUACCCGCGUAGUCC